GGGGCUGUCACGGUUUCGACGUUUUGGCGAACACUAUCUUGUGAUGCAGGCCGAGAGCGGGCUAACUCUCGAAAAUCCAUGGCUCAAACAAACGUACAUGCGAACAACAUCGUACCUUUUGCUCGUAAGCGCGUAGCUGUUGCUGCCGCCUAACAACCCCUAACGGUUCGAGCGUCUGCGAUUUGACUCCGUUAAGGAUUGCAGACCAACCCCCAACGGAUGCUCCGGCACAUUGCCUCUGGUCAAUGUCCGGCUAAGACUUUACCAGAGCAUCCCACUGUCCGGGAUAAGUGACAGUCCCCGCCCUGAGGGUAACCAGGGCUAAGCCUGUGAAUGAAUGAGAUAUCAAUACCCAGGGCGGACAGGAGUUCGACUCUCCUCAGCUCCACUU
RNAcentral lists this transfer-messenger RNA (391 nucleotides) under Cyanobacteria bacterium J069. It matches the Rfam family "transfer-messenger RNA". Rfam says of the family: Bacterial tmRNA, also known as 10Sa RNA or SsrA, is named for its dual tRNA and mRNA-like properties. Its role is to liberate the mRNA from a stalled ribosome. Lineage: Bacteria; Bacillati; Cyanobacteriota. The record is from RNAcentral. RNAcentral also lists the same sequence under 1 other name.